Molecule: long non-coding RNA, 1476 nt
Filed under: Ornithorhynchus anatinus (platypus)
Lineage: Eukaryota; Metazoa; Chordata; Mammalia; Monotremata; Ornithorhynchidae
Description: lncRNA (ENSOANG00000040063.1)
Source: RNAcentral
UUGAAAGCCUGUACUGUGAAAUUCAUAGCAGUAAUUUAGACAAAAUCCUCACUGUAUAUUAAUGAAAGGCGGCCCCAUGGCACCGCUCCUAUCCCCCCCCCCCCACCCCCAUUCAGUGUAAACAAAACCACGAGACUCACUCGGUUUUUGAGCCUGAUCCAAGCAAAAUCGGCUGGAAAGGAAAACAUAGGGGUCUGGCACGGACUAUUCAAACGUCUGCACCUGGAGAUUUCAGAUUUAUUCAAUGAAAUCUGUGUUGGAUCAUAUAUAGGUCGCUACACCUCUGCCUAUAGAUAUUCAUGGAUAGAUAGGAUAGAUAGAUUUUCUCAAAGUAGCCUUUGGAGAACUGAGAGAAAACCCUAAAAUAUGGUUAUAUUUUGGGGCGGGGGGGGGGGUGGUGUUCAGUUACCCUUACCCUGCAGAUCGGUCUACUUCACAUUAAUGGGUGUUUUUUUUUUUCUUUCCCUAAACCUCCCUAAGAUGGUAUCUUUCACCGUGCAAGCUGGAGCUGGACGCGGUCCUAAAUAAAUGCUACCGGGCUACAGUUAAUCUUCGAAUCACGCAAACGCUGCAUACUUGCGAUUGGGAUGGAACUCAGUUUUCAGCCCGAGUUCCUCUAGCUGGAUUUCUGCAGGGAAAUUAUUAGCAGAAGGACAGAAAGCACCACCGCCGUCCGUACCGCCCCCGGCACCAGCGCCGGCACCGGCGCCCUCGACAAGCCUUGAGGACAACUUCUUCCCUGGAGUUUAUUGUGUGUCCAAGGAUACCCUCUAUGCAGCCGCGCACACCUGCCCGGCUCUACCCAUGCGCUCGCCCUCGGGCCCCGGACCGCUGCUGGGAUAAAAAUUACCUAUAAAGCGCCGACCCUCCCAAGCACCGGCAUCAAGGAAAGAUGCCUCGCCAGACGGGAACUCUUGCGAGGAGGCUGGGGAAGGAGGCUGGUUUCAGAGAAAGCAGAGCGCUCCCGCACUAGCCACUCCGGAGACAUGCAUCAUCGCAGGAAGUUUGCUUAGGACCACCCCGCCGAACUUGAAAAACGAGGACCGGAGAGGGGGGGAGCCCGGGAGCCCGGCCGUCCCUCCCUCCCCUGCCCCCCCCCGACCCCUCCCCCCGACCCCCGCACCCAGUCCCCACCCCGCACCUCUCCGACCCGCCUGCCCAGCGGCCUACCGGCCCACCUGCCUGCUCCCCUCCGCACCCGCCACCGCGGCGGCCCAGGCGCCUUGCGGGAAAGAGGAAAAAGGAAGAAAAAGUUUUGCUCCACGAGGGGGAAGGAAGGAAAAUGCCGGCGGGAGUGACAUGCGACCCUUAAAGCGAAGAGGGGAGAGCGGGCGAGGAGGCGAAGAAGGGGUGGUUGGCUGAUCUUCUCCUCUCCCGCCCCUCACCCCCCCACACGCCCCCCGCCCCCUCUCCAUCCCUCUCUCUUUUUCUCCUCUUUUCCCCUUCGCCGCUCCGCUCCCUCCGGCGAAACCUCCC